This 645-nucleotide non-coding RNA is filed under the name Pongo abelii (Sumatran orangutan). Lineage: Eukaryota; Metazoa; Chordata; Mammalia; Primates; Hominidae. The record is from RNAcentral.
AUUGCAGCAGGGCAGCCUCUCUGCUGCCUAUGUGAGGCGGCCCCCCCCAGCGCUAUAAAUAGACAGCCGUGAUCAGAGCCCCGGAAUAGCAGCCCGCGUGCCUGUCCCCAUCUUAGAGAGACAUCUGACCCCUGGUCCCUUGUGGAGCCCCUGCCGGGACCAUUAACCCGUUGGCUGCUGGCACCACCCCCACCUCCGCCUCCCGCACACCUGCAUCUGUCAGUCUGGGACUCUGGCCUUGUGGAUUCUGGUGUUUUGGAGGUCCUGGAUCCCAUCCCCCAAGGAUACAAAGGGACAGCUGUACUCGGGACUGGCAUCUGAAGUGGAGGACGCUCUUGUGGGACUGAGACCUUAGCCUGCAGGAUCGGGUACUGUCUCCAGGGAGAAAGUGUCACAAUGGAACAGGGUUGGAGGAUGCCCAGUGGGUGUCCGUGGGAGACUGGAUGGAGCAGGGUUGGAGGACGCCCAGUGGGUGUCUGCGGAGACUUGCUGGAGCAGGGUUGGAGGACGCCUAGUAGGUGUCCACUGGAGACUUGCUUGCUGUUUGGGGAAAAUCCCCACAUACGUUUUGGUGACCAGAGGUGAAGUAUUCCAUGUUGGAUGUUGACUGUUGAGUGUGUGAGAACAGGGAAAAUACUGUUUUUU